Molecule: long non-coding RNA, 269 nt
Organism: Schistocerca nitens (vagrant locust)
Lineage: Eukaryota; Metazoa; Arthropoda; Insecta; Orthoptera; Acrididae
Exons: 3
Source: RefSeq, a predicted model, not a curated record
GUCAGACCCCUCUUACAUUGGACCAAGGCUCCACACAUACAGUGUGUAUUACAUCACAAUUAUGAUGAAAUCAGUGAACUCAAGCAGAAGCUGGAGGUAAUGACACGUGAGGUGGAACAGCUUAAGGAAUGUGUGUCAUCUGCAGAAGCUCAAUUGCGAAAGGAACAGUCAGGUAUCUGGUGGCCAUUGUGUUCAAAACAUUGCUGAAAGUCCAGAAGGAACGGGAGGCGCUUAGGGCAGAGCUACAGCAGACACGGGAGACACUGUCA